Equus caballus (horse) is the source of this 3823-nucleotide long non-coding RNA. RefSeq lists it as uncharacterized. NCBI's taxonomy places the organism in Eukaryota, Metazoa, Chordata, Mammalia, Perissodactyla, Equidae. The record is from RefSeq and is a predicted model, not a curated record.
GAGAAAAUGAUUCAGUUACAAUAUUUGCGUAAAAAGCAGUACUGUUUAUUUAACAUCUUUAGGAACUGAUGUGCUUUUUUUUUUUUUUAAUCUUAUGUGCUUUCAAGGUCACCUUAAGGUGAAACUAUCCUAGCUUGUAGACGUCCCCUUCCUUUAUCUCUGUCUUUGCACAAAUGGCUUAACCCCUACGAAUAAGAAAAAAGUAUUCAUUGACGUUUGUUUGCCUCUGGGUGAUUCUUAAAGCAUGCCCAGGGGCUUCAAGAUGUAGGAGCACAAAGUUUGAGUUUGCCAAGUGGUUAUUUAUGGAAAGAAAUUGUAUGAUGUUGCUCAAUGUGAGAAUUUUAUGGUCUUAUGAUUAACUUUUGCCCAGAGGCUACAGUUUCAUUAACCACAGAAAUUUAGUGACUUAAAAUUACCAGCAGUUAAAUGUAUAACGUCAGCUUUCAUUCAGUCCAAAUUCUUCCCAUUGCUCAUCAAAACAGAUCAACAGCUCUUCUGAUACACCAGUUAAUUCAUGUCCUGGUGAUUUGUGAUGAAUGACGUCUGGGUAAAUCAAGGGAGCAAUAUGCUUCUUUUGUAAAGAACAUUACUUUAAUGUUCAUAUUUACUCCUUCACCCUUUCACAAUUUCACAAAGUAGAGUGAACAUCUAUAAUUCACUGUCAACUUUGGGUGGAUUUUUUGCCUUAAAAUUCAACGCCUCUUUUUCUCCCCUUGUGUCCAGAUUGACCAUAGUACCAAACUAGAUGAUAAAGAAAUGUACUGUGUGUAUGUCUCUCUGUGUGUAUGUAAUGUAUGUUACUGAUUGUAUUCCAGAGCCAUUUGUAAAUUUUUUCGGUUAUUUUUAGAUUAUACUAUCUAGUUAUUGUUCUGGAUAUUCUAAUUAUUUAUAGAGUUUUACUUUUUUAUUAUUUUUACCUGUUUAAUAUGUAUUUUAGACUAAUCUUAAAAUUCUUUCAGCUCUUCUCUUACUUUUUCUUGUGCAAUAGCAAAAUGUACAGAAGGAAGUAAGGCAACUACGAAGCUAGUCUGUACCUUACCAAGAAAGAGUGACUGCUAUUUCUCAUGACUUUAUCAAUGAAAAAGAUGGUAAUCUCCUAUGGAAGACACUGUAUUAUAAAUUCAAGUUCCUCUUAAGUCCUAAAGACUCACUGCUAAACGCAGGUACUCAUGGAGAAAAGUUUUAGUUAUAAAUAUUGGCCAUCUUCCCAAGUAAGUCUCCUUAAAUGUGGAUCUAAGCACCUGAUGUACUAUUUCGGCCAUGGUGAAAUGCAUGAUGGAGGCAAAGGAGAAAUGACAGAGUUAAAGUGACUCAUUUCAGAAUUGAACUUGAACUGCGGCUGUGGCCUGGACUCGGCAUUCAAAUAUGACAAAUUGACCUCUGGUUGUAGAGAUGUCUUGAAGAUGCUGAAAAACAAACACAGAAUUAUGGAAUGGAAGAAACUGUUUUACCAUAUGCAAUGAUUUGGGAUGCCAGUUGCAGUACGUGUGCAGGCUUUUUUUUAUCAUAAUUAUUGAUUACCGACUGUACCUUAAUCAAAAUGAGGAGCUGCUGGGCGUUCUUUUGUGCUUUAUAGUGUGCUUUACAGUCAGGUAUAGGUUAUUUUUAUCUUAACUUCAUAGAGUUGUUUUUAAUGAGAAACUUGUUAUUCACUUCCCCAAGAGCCAUUUUUCAAAAUGGAAAACAGGUGAGUGGAGAAGUCUUCAGUUUGUUGUGUUAGAUUAUUUUGUUGAGUACAUACCUAGUCACAGAUUUAGUCUUUACUGUUGGUCACAGGAGCAUGGGCAGCAUUGUAAUUUGUUAAGGGCUCUGAAUCAUGACUUAGAGGACAUGGGCCCAAAUCUCAACACUGUGACCAGCUAGUUGAAGCUGAUCACAGGACUCGGAAAAGACUCUUAACCUCUGUGGAACUCAGGUUCUUGAUCUGUGAAAUAGGGCUAGCAAAAAGCCCAGCCUACUCUGAGGGUUCAAGGCUCGUUUCAGAUAAACAAUCUGAAAACUUUUCUUAAAGAAUGAAGAGUUAUAUUGAUAUACAAAAAAUGUUUAUUAACAAUAGCUAGUUUAGUCUCACAAUGCAUAAAUGAAGGGGUGGCGAUUGUGGUAAAUUUCCCCCUUAAAUCCUGAUUACCCGCCCCCCACCCCCACCCCGGGGUCGAUAAUGUCUACAAUUUAUCUAUAAAGUCAAACUCCAUCGUGUAGUAAAGGAUAGGUUACCUUGGUAAACACAGGGGCUGCAGUGCAAGUGGAUCCUGACAGGCUGCUGCAGGGACUCUGCAUCUGAUUUAAGAAAUAGAAGAGACACUGUCAUCCAUAUUGUCAAGGCCCUAAAACCUAGGUGCGUGAUGGCUAUGGACUAACUGGAUCAGUUUUAGGCGCUACUAACUAGUUCAGUUUUAGCUGCUACCAAACACACCCUAAGUUUCCUUUUUUGAAAAGGAUGAUGUUUCUAAUUGAAAUGUCAGUUUGGAUGUCUGCUCCAAUGCCACCCUUUUUUCUCUCAUCUUCAGCAUUCCAUCAGCCAAGAUGGUGAAAUACAACUUUGGGCAGUUAUGUUUGAGAAAUGAGUAUUGGCAAUUAUUUAGAGAUUAUAUAUUACAGAUUUAAAUAACUUCUAAAUUUUACUGACUAGAUUUUUUUUCCUCUUCCAUACAGCUGUGCUUGUUGGAUCUUUUAGGUUUUUGAGAAAGCACCCCCCCCGCCCCCCACUUUUUUUAAUUAAAGAGGAAUUCACUUCUUGGAUAGUUGGGAUACUCUUGUUAUGGGUCUGAGCUCGUAGACACCAACUGUCCCUUAUGGUCUGGCACACAGACAAAUGGCCAACCCACAGGACUGCCAUGAAGUUAUUUCUGAGACCCAUGGAUUUCAUUCUUGCUCUUUCUGAGGUCAUGCAGCUGGAGGCUCUCCUCACAUACACUUUUCAAGAAAGUUGCAUUGAUUCCUUCUUCUCUGGGCCUGUGUCUCCCUUACCCGGACCCCUCAGAAGGCAUAAAACUGAACCUACCCUCUGGGGGUCAAUACACAAUGGUUGAACUAAGGUAGAAUAACUUGAUCUGAUGUUGGAGGUUUCAUUAACUGGGGAACUGAUGGUCAGAGAAACUCUAGUGGUUUUCUUCUUUAUCCUGUGGGGAAAACAAAACCAAAUACAAUCCAGUGAAAGAAAGAUUAAAGGUGGCUUUGAUAGAAAUACCUCACUGUAUACAUUUGAAUGUAUCACAUUUUUUACCUAUGAUCCUUAAUUUUCUCUUGAUUUGCAUAAUAAUUUUAGUUUCUUUUCUUUUUGGCCAAUUAUUAGUGGAUUAUGGCUCCUAAUAGUUUCACUUUAAAUUUCCUUUGUCUUAGUUCGAUAGUUCGUGGGCUGUUACUAAACUUAAAUUGUCCAGAAGAAAUAACUUAUAAGGGAAAUAACCACUUCGAAAUUUGUCUUGGAAGUUUUAGGUGUUUUUUGGGUCUUUUUUGUAAAGUGGAAUCCCUCCUAUAUUCUUAUGCAACAAAUGCACAUUCACUUCAUAUUCUAUACUUACUCUGACAUUUUUGUAGCAUAUUCCAAGCACAAUCCUAGAGACAAAACUUUUUCUUACUUCCUUGGGUACCUGUAAGAAAGAGAAAACAGAAAAUCUGUCUAAAUCUCAUUGGAAUUUAGUAAAAUUUAGUUCAAGCGUACUGUAUUCACACUAGAACCAGCAAAUUAGUUACAGACAGCAGGUCAGUCUAGAACAUCUGAAUUCUCUCUCUCUCUCUCUCUUUUAUGGCUGAGGAAGAUUUGCCCUGAGCUAACAUCUGUGCCAAUCUUCCUUUCUUUUGUAUGUGGAUCGCUGCCACAGCA